AACCGUUCCUCCCGGGCCUCACUUCUUGCCAUGUCCUCCUUCCAUUGUCGAGUCAUGACUUGCAUCUGGUUUACCAGCACAUGGACGUCUCUCACUGGCCUUGUUUGCUGGGUCCUCGUUCCUUUAAGAAACGGCAGCUAUAAAGUCAGUCGUAUCCCUACCGAUUAGGCAUGUGGUAGUAACCAUCUCGACAUCAGCUGUUUGUUAGACUACACAGGAUGAGUGACAGCAUGGCAUGAAGAUUCUUUGUGAUGCCCAUAUGUUGAUGCAGUUAUAAUAUUGCAGAACUUACCAGGUAGAUCAUCGGUGAUUGUAGCACGCAGUGGAGUAGAAGGUGGUGGAGAGCAGCUAGAGUCGACCUAACGGAGGAGGUAGCACGCAGUGGAGUAGAAGGUGGUGGAGAGCAGCUAGAGUCGACCUAACGGAGGAGGUAGCACGCAGUGGAGUAGAAGGUGGUGGAGUUGACGUAGGUGAGGAGGUUCCAGAUGAGCCUCCGAGCAGCGUCUCUUCCGGGUCCAUUGUAGUAUCUAUAAGAUGGUACAGCACAAAUAAUAAUAAAACGUUAUUUAUAGAGCACCUUUCAUGCAAAAGAAUGCAGCUCAAAGUGCUUUACAGCAAAUACGUGCGUAAUAACGUGCACAAAGAAAUUACCUGCACAUAAAAAUGGACAAAGAAACAUAAAAACUCAACUAUAGUGCAAAAACAAAUGUAGAAAGUACAGUUCAUGUAAUGUACACUUUAUUACGUUUGUAACUUUCAUUCUAAAUUGAAUUCCUUGCAGGUUAGUGGGAAGAUCUACACGUUUCUCAAAGGCU
Molecule: long non-coding RNA, 815 nt
Organism: Gasterosteus aculeatus aculeatus (three-spined stickleback)
Lineage: Eukaryota; Metazoa; Chordata; Actinopteri; Perciformes; Gasterosteidae
Source: Ensembl